AGGCACUAAUAUCCUAGCCCAAGACGCCUUGCCAAGCCACACCCCCAAGGGAAUUCAGCAGUGAUAAAUAUUAAGCCAUAAGUGAAAACUUGACUUAGUUAGUGUUAAGAGGGCCGGUAAAACUCGUGCCAGCCACCGCGGUUAUACGAGAGGCCCCAGUUGUUAAAUACCGGCGUAAAGGGUGGUUAAGGAGAGCAAAGAUAUAGCCGAAGGGCCUCUUAGCCGUCAUACGCUUAUUGAGUGUCCGAAGCCCGAAAACGAAAGUAGCUUUAAUAUAGCCCACCUGACCCCACGAAAACUGAGAAACAAACUGGGAUUAGAUACCCCACUAUGCUCAGCCGUAAACCUAGACGUUACACCACAACAAACGUCCGCCAGGGUACUACGAGCGUCAGCUUAAAACCCAAAGGACUUGGCGGUGCCUUAGACCCCCCUAGAGGAGCCUGUUCUAGAACCGAUAAUCCCCGUUAAACCUCACCACUUCUAGUCAUUCCC
Molecule: ribosomal RNA, 495 nt
Filed under: Lefua echigonia
Lineage: Eukaryota; Metazoa; Chordata; Actinopteri; Cypriniformes; Nemacheilidae
Description: partial 12S rRNA
Rfam family: Bacterial small subunit ribosomal RNA
Source: RNAcentral